Molecule: long non-coding RNA, 1137 nt
Organism: Chinchilla lanigera (long-tailed chinchilla)
Lineage: Eukaryota; Metazoa; Chordata; Mammalia; Rodentia; Chinchillidae
Exons: 6
Source: RefSeq, a predicted model, not a curated record
AAGAACUGCAAAACACAUAGUCUCAUUCCUCAGUGUACAAGGAGCUGCGACAAGGUCCUUCCAUCGUGCUCUUCCUGCCCUGGAGCCUGCUGACUAUGGACUGAAACCGUGAGCCAAAAUAACCCUCUCCUCCUCACAGCUGCAGGGGUCAGGUACUGUGUCUCACGACGAGGGAGUGACGAAGACACGUUACUGAUAGCCAACCAUGGUCUGAGAAUAUUAAGUGGAAAAUUCCAGAAAUAAAUCAUCAUAACUGCACUGGGAAGUGUUUCUGGAGUUCAAUGUUGUCUGCCUCUAUGUUGCAUCCUGGAGAAAGAUCUACAGAAUCUUACAGGUAUGUAAGGACAACUGCCUCAGGCUGGGGAGAGGAGAAGAAAGAUGUUUUGAGCUGUCUCUGAAUAGAAGGAAGAACUCCUGAAGACCCAGCCAAUGAAGAGACAGCCUUUCAAUGAUCACUCCCACCUCUGAAGGGUUGGAAGGAGCUCAGCCCUGCAGACUUGACUGACAGCCCCAGCAGCACACAUGACUUCUAGAAUAUUCUGCGGCAGUGCUGGUUUUGGGAACCCAGCAGGAAUGUCUCCCCAGAUUCACGUAGACUUACCUGAAACCUAAGAGUGUGACCUGAAAUAAGGCGUUCACCAUCUUAAUCAAGGAAGGAUGAGGUCACAUUGCAUUAGAGUGGUCCCACAUCCAGUGACUUUACCUUACAAGUAAAGAAAGCGGAGCCCCCGAGACUCACGGAGGAGAACACUACGUGCCCACUGAGAGAAAAAUCAGAGUGAGUCUACAAGCCAUGGGUUACCAGCUGCCAUGGGAAUGGAGCUCACAGAAGCAAGGAAGAAUACUCCCCUCCCCUGGAGGCAAGGCAGCCAAUGGCUUGGUGUCGGACUUUCAACCUCCAACUGUGAGAAGAUGUUUCUGUUGUUUUAAGCCAUCACUUAGUGGUACUUUGUCACCACUGCCUUGGGACAGCAUUGUGUCCUUCAUCCUCUUUGUCUUUCCGCAUCCCAAGAGGGGCAAGCGUGGGCAGGGAAUAGGCACAAUCAGGUUCCUAUGCUCCAAUUUAGAUUUCAUGUUUACUACACAUAUAAAUAAAACCAAAUAAAACACGAUGUGUAGUUAAAUUUGAAUUUUGUG